Molecule: ribosomal RNA, 280 nt
Filed under: uncultured Glomus
Lineage: Eukaryota; Fungi; Glomeromycota; Glomeromycetes; Glomerales; Glomeraceae
Description: partial 18S small subunit ribosomal RNA
Rfam family: Eukaryotic small subunit ribosomal RNA
Source: RNAcentral
CCAAUAGCGUAUAUUAAAGUUGUUGCAGUUAAAAAGCUCGUAGUUGAAUUUCGGGAUCAAAGAAUCGGUCAUGCCUUGGUAUGUACUGGUUUUAUUGGUUCUCACCUUCUAAAGAACCAUAAUGUCAUUUAUUUGAUGUUAUGGGGAAUUAGGACUGUUACCUUGAAAAAAUUAGAGUGUUUAAAGCAAGCUUACGCUUGAAUACAUUAGCAUGGAAUAAUGAAAUAGGACAUCAGAUUCUAUUUUGUUGGUUUCUAGGAUCGAUGUAAUGAUUAAUAGG